UAGGGAAUCUUCGGCAAUGGACGAAAGUCUGACCGAGCAACGCCGCGUGAGUGAAGAAGGUUUUCGGAUCGUAAAACUCUGUUGUUAGAGAAGAACAAGGACGUUAGUAACUGAACGUCCCCUGACGGUAUCUAACCAGAAAGCCACGGCUAACUACGUGCCAGCAGCCGCGGUAAUACGUAGGUGGCAAGCGUUGUCCGGAUUUAUUGGGCGUAAAGCGAGCGCAGGCGGUUUCUUAAGUCUGAUGUGAAAGCCCCCGGCUCAACCGGGGAGGGUCAUUGGAAACUGGGAGACUUGAGGGCAGAGGAGGAGAGUGGAAUUCCAUGUGUAGCGGUGAAAUGCGUAGAUAUAUGGAGGAACACCAGUGGCGAAGGCGGCUCUCUGGUCUGUAACUGACGCUGAGGCUCGAAAGCGUGGGGAGCAAACAGG
This 429-nucleotide ribosomal RNA is filed under the name Gemmatimonadota bacterium. RNAcentral describes it as "Gemmatimonadetes bacterium partial 16S ribosomal RNA". It matches the Rfam family "Bacterial small subunit ribosomal RNA", at positions 355 to 776 of the family's 1533-position model. Lineage: Bacteria; Pseudomonadati; Gemmatimonadota. The record is from RNAcentral.